Zea mays is the source of this 1635-nucleotide RNA transcript. RefSeq lists it as uncharacterized. NCBI's taxonomy places the organism in Eukaryota, Viridiplantae, Streptophyta, Magnoliopsida, Poales, Poaceae. The transcript is spliced from 7 exons. The record is from RefSeq and is marked provisional.
GGCUGGCUAGCUGACACCGAGGAGCCGGGGCGGAAUCCGUCCGCUGCAGCACAGCCGCGCCCGGGGGAAACCGCCAAAACCCCGUAAAAAGUCCAGGAAAAAACAAGCCCAAAGCGGGCGAGUGCGCGGCCGCGGGCAAGCAACCGGCCACCCACCUAGCUCGGCUCCGCUCAGCGGCAGCACCGCAGGCCGCAGCAGCACGGCAUGGGCGCAAACACUAAAAAGAAGGGAGCGGCCGCGCCUCCACCCCAAACCCACCUCGCCUCCUAGUCCCCCCCUUCGCCUUCUCUCCCGAGUCCCAUCGGAGCCCGGAGCUCUCUCGCCUCCCGCGAGGCUGUGUGGUGAGGCGCGGACGAGAUGAACGAGCAGGGGCUCGGUGGUCUCGGCGGGGGCCGCGGGGCCGUGCAGGGGCACGGGCGGGAGGCGAUGGCGCUCUUGCAGCACCAGCAGCUUCAACAGCAACGGCGGCAGCUGGAGGAGGAGGAUGAGGUGCGGCGCCAGAUGUUCGGCGGGGUGGCGGCGUUCCCGGCAGCGCUGGGCCACGGCCAGCAGGUGGACUACGGGGAGGACGCCGGCGGGCUCGGGGACAGCGACGCGGGCGGGUCGGAGCCCGAGCCACCGCCGGAGCGGACGCGCGGGGGGUCCGGCGGCGGCGGCGGCAAGCGGAGCCGCGCUGCCGAGGUGCACAACCUCUCCGAGAAGAGGAGGAGGAGCAAGAUCAACGAGAAGAUGAAAGCGCUGCAGAGCCUGAUACCCAACUCCAACAAGACCGACAAGGCAUCCAUGCUUGACGAGGCCAUUGAGUAUCUGAAGCAACUGCAGCUCCAAGUGCAGAUGCUGUCUAUGAGAAAUGGUGUUUACUUGAACCCUCCAUAUUUGUCUGGCACAAUUGAGCCUGCACAAGCAUCACAAAUGUUUGCUGCAGUUGGUGGGGGCAACAUUACAGCGUCAAGCUCUGGGGCAGUGAUGCCACCAGUAAACCAAAGUUCAGGACUUCAAGUAUUUGAUCCAUUAAAUCCUCCACGAGACCAACCACUGUCUUUUGUAUUACCAAAUGUAGACAAAACCAUUCAAGAAGCUCCCUUUCACUUGGAAUCAUCGCAGUUCCACCCUCGACCAUUUCGAAUGCCUGAAUCUUCUGAGGUGAGGUAGUGGCAAAGCACCAGCUAACUUCAAUUCAAGGAAGAGUUAGUAUGCCAGGAAUUGGUAUGAACCCCAUUAGGCAAGAAUCAUCCACUGUAAAAGCUGAUCAGUUUGAUGGUUGCUCACAUAGCAAAGAGUGACUACGAGAUAUGUGCCACAAAAUGCAUGACAAGUUCAGGACAGCUUAGGAAAUGGCAACCGAUGAGGACCGAAGGCAAGAUGACACAGUUCAGUAACCCAGCUGACAGCCUGGCACGCAGGCUUCCCCUUUAUUUUCCUCUGUUACUGCAAUAGUAACUUAAAUUUUUAGGCUUCCCCUUUAUUUUCCUCUGUUACUGCAAUAGUAACUUAAUUUUUUUUAGGCUUCACCUUUCCUUUUUGUUUGAAAAUUAGCAGGGCAGUAUUAAUUAAUAGUACAAAACCAUGUAUCACCAAGAUUUCAGGGGUUGAAACUUGAAAUGCCAAUAUUCACCAAGCUUUAGUUUUUUUUCA